This is a long non-coding RNA of Pteropus alecto (black flying fox), 982 nucleotides long. RefSeq lists it as uncharacterized. The record is from RefSeq and is a predicted model, not a curated record. The transcript has 3 exons. Lineage: Eukaryota; Metazoa; Chordata; Mammalia; Chiroptera; Pteropodidae.
UGGGUGCUAAGCCACCGCGCAGCGUGGAAGGAGGGACGCUUUUCCUGAGGCUGAGCCCACCUGUCCCAGGAAGGCCCCUCCCAUCCUCUCCAGCGUCAGGUCCAGCCUGCUCAGGUGCCAGGACAGAGGUGAGGGCACCGAGAGCCCCUUCACACCCACGCCCCUGGGAUGAGCAGCCACCAUGGCCAGGGGUCACCGACCUGAGGGACAGCGACCCCAUUUGUAGUCACCCUCCAGGACCAGACACGAACAACGAACACCGUCAUCACAAAGGCCACCAUGGCCCCGUCCCUGCCCAGCAAACUGCAGCGUUCAGCGCCGCUGACCGACAGACGAGAAAGCCGUUCCGUUUUCCACGUGCAAGGACAUGGAGUCCCAGCCUGGCUGACCCUCGGGUCUCUGGCCCUCGCCGCCUCGUGCCGAGCUCUCUCCUCGUGGGAGAGAUGCCCUCGGAGCCCGACUUAGCCCAUCGCUGUGCUGGGGCCGCCUGUGUCCCCUCGGCCACCGUCUGCUCGUUGGAGGCAACACUGGCCUCUCCCCGCAUCAUGCUCUGACACGUGUGUGUCCACCGCACGACUCCUCGCCGAGCUCCGCCGGAGCAAAGCACCACGAACUCUGUGGCUGGAAACCCCAGGAACGCAGCCCCCGGCGUUGAGGGGGCCGGAACCUGGGGAAGAGCCCGCGGCUGACGCUGGUGCCAGCCCCGGCCGCCAUGCCUGAAGCCUGCAGACCGGCAUCGCGCGCUGGCGUCAAGACCCUGCACCCUUGGGAGCCGCAUCGACGCAGGGGAGAGACGGACGCAGCAAAGUCCGUGCGAGGGGGGACGUUUAUCCAGCCGCCGGAGGAACGAAGCACUGAGCCACAUGACAACGUGGAUGUGCCUUGUCGGGACCGGCCACCACGCGACAGGAGCCGGGCGCAGAAGGCCGCCACUACGAGCACCCCGAGCGAGUGAGCCCACGGACACGGACUGGGCUGCUGC